CAUCUGGGUUCAUGGCCUGAAAAAAAAAUGAUGAUGAAAAUCAAAAAAUUUUUUCUUACAUUCGUGAAAUAUGAAAAUGAACAAUUUACGUAUUAAAUGAAUCGCAAAUGAAGAGAUGAAAUAAAAAUGAGAAGAAGAAACAUAUCAAAAAACACGCACACAAAUUAUAUUUUUGACAAUAUGUACAAGUAAGGUAUGUAUGAUCAUAAUAUGGAGAAUUAGAUUGCGAUUAUUCGGACUAUGGUGCCUAUUUUUAUUCGAUAGGUAAGUAAUAUUAAGAAAAGCAUAGAGGUCGAGGUCUUGGCAUUCUCCCUCGGUGAAUAAAUUUGACAUUUUAAUUCCCUCACGUUAAUUUUAGCGAUCGAAUUUAAACAUGAUAACUCAAACGUCGACGAUUACUGAACUUGUUUAUCAUUAAAAGAAAGUUAUUUGCUGAAAAUGAACAAUUUUAUCAAUUAUAUAGCUUUGAUAAGUAGAUAAAUAAAUUAAUUUUCUUUGGGAAAUUAACGAUUAAUGGCUCGGAACAAAUUGUACUUGAGUAAUAUUAUUUAUGUAAUUAUGUACCUAUGUACUUUUUAUAAUUCAAGAAUUGAGAUAAGCUUACUUACAUGAUGCACACCAAAGGAAAUAGGAACAUUGUAACGCCAAGUUGAUAAAGCAGUUGUGCCCAUCAUGUAAGGACUCAUGCCAUGAUAGCCAUUUCGGAAUGAAAUUAUUUCAAAAUUUUUGGUGUAUAAACGAGCAAGGAAUAAAGCCAAAUCAUUUGCCUCAGAUCCACUAUUUACAAAAUAGACAACCUGUAAGAAAAAAAUAUAUAGGUAUAUUAACAUUUAUGUGCAUCAGUUCUCAGUCAGAGUAACUAAAUAAGUAUCUCUCAACAUAGGUAGGUACCUAAUACCUAUGUACUACAGUUCUACGAACACGGGAUAGGAUAGAAGGACCUCCAAAUUCAAGGCACUCAUGUUUGUAUAAAUUUACUUAAGGAUUUUUUGUCCCCUGUUGGACAUUUUACGUUUACUCUACAGAUUCGAGUAUCGAAUCAUCAUCAAAAUACAAAUUCAAUUGGCUGAAGACAGGCGAUACCCUUUGAAGCACGAAGAAGGAGACAUCUUAAUUUUUUUUAUUCUUGCCACACCUGAGUUCAGUAUGGUUGAAAAUUUGAAAUUAUUUUUAAUUUAUCUAUUAAAAAUUGCAAUCCAAAAUUGGUAGUUUGUUUGCUUUAGUUAGGUAGUUAAUUUUCAUUUUUUAUUUAAAUUAGUUUUUUUCCUCCAGUGCCUCAAAAGAGCACGUAAUACUUUGAAAACUUCCACGACAUUUUCCCAUUCGAUAUCGGUUUAUAAUGAUUAUUCGGAUGAGCAAGCGAUUGUAAUAAUAAAUAAAAUCACACGCUUGAAAAUUAUGCAUUAAUUCUUCGAAAUAAAAUUAAUCUCGAUAAAGAUUUUCUUAUCUAAGUACACAUUUACGUAUUGCCCAUAGGUGCUCAAAUUAACAUUUUAAAAAUACGUAUUUUUCUUAUUAAAUACCUGUAUCGAUGACGUCUUUCUUCUAAAAUUAUCAAAUUUUCGUGAUAGUACCUAACACGUGAAACACCCAAUUUUGUUUACUUCAAUGUAUAGCCAAAUUCAAAAUUUUUAUAGCCUAUUUCAAAUUGGUAAACCCUGGUAAACCUAUGCAUCAUAUUUUAAAUAUGGAGGAUCAA
Long non-coding RNA from Planococcus citri (citrus mealybug), 1699 nucleotides. RefSeq lists it as uncharacterized. Lineage: Eukaryota; Metazoa; Arthropoda; Insecta; Hemiptera; Pseudococcidae. The record is from RefSeq and is a predicted model, not a curated record. The transcript has 2 exons.